AGAGCGAACGCUGGCGGCAUGCUUAACACAUGCAAGUCGCACGGUUCGGGGGGCAACUCCGGGCAGUGGCGGACGGGUGAGUAACGCGUAGGCAUCUAUCCUCGGGUGGGGGACAACCGUGGGAAACUACGGCUAAUACCGCAUGAUGUCCGAGGACCAAAGGCGCCCGGGGAAACUUGGGGGCCGCCUGGGGCGGAGCCUGCGUACGAUUAGCUUGUUGGUGGGGUAAAGGCCUACCAAGGCGACGGUAUCGGUUAGCGUGGUACUGAGAGGACGAAUCAGCCACAGUUGGGACUGAGACACGGCCCCAAACGUCCGUACGGGAGGCAGCAGUGGGGAAUAGUGGACAAGUGGGCGCAAGGCCUGACUCCAGACCAAGUCGCCGGCGUGGUGUACGGAAAG
RNAcentral lists this ribosomal RNA (402 nucleotides) under uncultured soil bacterium. RNAcentral's name for it is "bacterial SSU rRNA". It matches the Rfam family "Bacterial small subunit ribosomal RNA", at positions 26 to 419 of the family's 1533-position model. The record is from RNAcentral.